AGCGAACGCUGGCGGCAGGCCUAACACAUGCAAGUCGAACGAACCUUUCGGGGUUAGUGUCGGACGGGUGCGUAACACGUGGGAACGUGCCUUUAGGUUCGGAAUAACUCAGGGAAACUUGUGCUAAUACCGAAUGUGCCCUUCGGGGGAAAGAUUAAUCGCCUUUCGAGCGGCCCGCGUUGGAUUAGCUAGUUGGUUGAGGUAAUGGCGCACCAAGGCGACGAUCAGUAGCUGGUCUGAGAGGAGGAUCAGCCACAUUGGGACUGAGACACGGCCCACACUCCUACGGGAGGCAGCAGUGGGGAAUCGGGAGCAAGGGGCGAAAGCCUGACGUAGACAUGCAGCGUGAAUGAGGAAGGUCUUAGGAUUGUAAAAUUGUUUCACCGGGGAAGAUAAUGACGGUACCCGGAGAAGAAGCCCCGGCUAACUUCGUG
Molecule: ribosomal RNA, 434 nt
Filed under: uncultured bacterium
Lineage: Bacteria
Description: partial 16S ribosomal RNA
Rfam family: Bacterial small subunit ribosomal RNA
Source: RNAcentral